UACGGGGGGGGCAAGCGUUGUUCGGAAUUACUGGGCGUAAAGGGUUCGUAGGUGGUCAACUAAGUCAGACGUGAAAUCCCUCAGCUUAACUGGGGAACUGCGUCUGAUACUGGAUGGCUUGAGUGCAGGAGAGGAACGCGGAAUUCCAGGUGUAGCGGUGAAAUGCGUAGAUAUCUGGAGGAACACCGGUGGCGAAGGCGGCGUUCUGGAUUGCAACUGACACUGAUGAACGAAAGCCAGGGGAGCAAACGGG
RNAcentral lists this ribosomal RNA (253 nucleotides) under uncultured bacterium. RNAcentral's name for it is "partial 16S ribosomal RNA". It matches the Rfam family "Bacterial small subunit ribosomal RNA", at positions 524 to 776 of the family's 1533-position model. The record is from RNAcentral.